UUUCGAAUCAUUCACAAUGGGCGAAAGCCUGAUGGUGCGACGCCGCGUGAGGGAUGAAGGUCUUCGGAUUGUAAACCUCUGUCACUGGGGAGAAAACGCUUUGAGUUAAUAGUUCAAAGCCUGAUUUAACCCGGAGAGGAAGCAGUGGCUAACUCUGUGCCAGCAGCCGCGGUAAUACAGAGACUGCAAGCGUUAUUCGGAUUCACUGGGCGUAAAGGGUGCGCAGGCGGCCGUGUGUGUAAGGUGUGAAAUCCCGGGGCUUAACUCCGGAACUGCGCCUUAAACUACAUGGCUAGAGUAUUGGAGAGGGUAGUGGAAUUCACGGUGUAGCAGUGAAAUGCGUAGAUAUCGUGAGGAACACCAGAGGCGAAGGCGACUACCUGGACAAUUACUGACGCUCAGGCACGAAAGCGUGGGGAGCAAAAG
This 426-nucleotide ribosomal RNA is filed under the name uncultured Opitutus sp. Its description in RNAcentral is "partial 16S ribosomal RNA". It matches the Rfam family "Bacterial small subunit ribosomal RNA", at positions 355 to 774 of the family's 1533-position model. The record is from RNAcentral. Lineage: Bacteria; Pseudomonadati; Verrucomicrobiota; Opitutia; Opitutales; Opitutaceae.